Molecule: long non-coding RNA, 738 nt
Filed under: Oryza sativa Indica Group (long-grained rice)
Lineage: Eukaryota; Viridiplantae; Streptophyta; Magnoliopsida; Poales; Poaceae
Description: lncRNA OsMH63_09G007710
Source: RNAcentral
GAGCGCCCUUCUUCUCUCGCCGCCCGUGCAGCGGAGGUCGCCCGCGCCGCCGCAAGCUGCGACACCCCCCCCCCCCCCCCCAACCCAAAUGGCACCGUCGGCUGCCCCUCUGUCGCCGACAUCCAUCCCAUCGCCGGAUCUAGGAGAGCUUCGCCCGAAUCCUCUUUUGAUUCUUGCGUGUUGGUGGUGGGUGGAGAGCAGCGGUACCAACGACAUUUGAAGCACAGAGGGUGGCAGGAUUCGGAGAGGAGGCUGCGGAUCUGGGGUCCGAUGGGUCGUUCUCCCUCCUCCCCUAAAACGGUGGCGAAGAAUGUCAGUAAAUUGUCGUUGGCGUCGUGCGCGGCAGCGGCCAUGCUUGAUCCUGGGCUGCCCAUCCUGAUUCCUAAUGCUACCGCCACACAGUCCUGUUCUACGCUGGUUGGUUGGCGAGCCAGCCGCCUCCACUACAACAUUCGUCCAUCAAAGAUGGAUCCCGCGGUGAAGAGGAGGAUCUGCUGAUCUGAAUUUCUUUGAUGAUUUUUGUUGGAGUGUUUAUAUCCUUUGUAAUUUUUUUACUUUUGAGUUUAAGCAUGUAAUUUGUCUAUUGUAUAGUGUGUGUCUGAAUGUAACAGAACCCGUGUGUAAAAGAAAAUAUUGUUAAUAGAGGCUACAAUGUUAACUGGUAGCUUGAUUGUCUGGUGAAUACAAGUUAAUCGGCAAUAUAGUGUGGAGGUGAAUAAUAUCUGACCGGCAGUGAUU